RNAcentral lists this ribosomal RNA (217 nucleotides) under Salmonella enterica. Its description in RNAcentral is "partial 16S ribosomal RNA". It matches the Rfam family "Bacterial small subunit ribosomal RNA", at positions 1 to 216 of the family's 1533-position model. The record is from RNAcentral. Lineage: Bacteria; Pseudomonadati; Pseudomonadota; Gammaproteobacteria; Enterobacterales; Enterobacteriaceae. RNAcentral also lists the same sequence under 2 other names.
AAAUUGAAGAGUUUGAUCAUGGCUCAGAUUGAACGCUGGCGGCAGGCCUAACACAUGCAAGUCGAACGGUAACAGGAAGCAGCUUGCUGUUUCGCUGACGAGUGGCGGACGGGUGAGUAAUGUCUGGGAAACUGCCUGAUGGAGGGGGAUAACUACUGGAAACGGUGGCUAAUACCGCAUAACGUCGCAAGACCAAAGAGGGGGACCUUCGGGCCUC